This 48-nucleotide non-coding RNA is filed under the name Schistosoma mansoni. The record is from RNAcentral. Lineage: Eukaryota; Metazoa; Platyhelminthes; Trematoda; Strigeidida; Schistosomatidae.
AUCCAGAUGACGAGUCCCAAAUAAGACGAAACGCGCGUCCAACUGAAU